Long non-coding RNA from Lates calcarifer (barramundi perch), 1766 nucleotides. RefSeq lists it as uncharacterized. NCBI's taxonomy places the organism in Eukaryota, Metazoa, Chordata, Actinopteri, Centropomidae. The record is from RefSeq and is a predicted model, not a curated record. The transcript is spliced from 5 exons.
CCCUCCAGAAGAGUCUUCGUAGUGUGAUGUUACGGUGAGCGGCAGUUCUCAGCUCCUGCAGCAGCAGGUACAAACUCUCCACACUGAUCCCAUCCUGCAGCAUCUCAGAGCUCAGCUGACCGAACAGAACAUACACUGUCCUGCUGCCAGAAAUACUCGCUAGAGCACCAACUGUGGAUUAAUCCGCCACUGAAAAUAGUCCCCGACUAAUGAACCAUUUCCACGUGGCACAAAAAACAAACAAAUGUCAUCAAUAUCAGUUAUGGAGGCAGCGACACACAUUACGACUGUUGACUCAACUGGGAAUAGUGACGACUGAUGGGACCAAGUUAAACCAGGUCUGUUCCAGUCUUGGUCAGUUGGCAGUCACAGGUAAAAUCAGAUGGUGUGAUACCAUUGCCAGAUUUUCUUAAACUUGUUCGAUACCUGCGAGUGAGGGAGAUGUACCUGUAAAUAACCAGCUUCACCUGAAGACUGCACUGUUCACUCAGCUCCAGUUCCCUCUGUGUCUAGGAUCUCACCAAACUCUGAGAUUUUUUCCUCCUUUUUUUGACUUUUCAGCACAAACGUCACUGCAUGUAAACAAUACAAGCUGCUGGUUGUUGUCCAUGUUUGAUAAUUAGACUUUUCGUGGGAUUUGAGAGGUUGUCCACUGACCAGAACAGGUUUAUUCUCCUUCCUGACUCUACCUGAAGUUGGUGGAAUCAGUCUUUAUGUGUGGUUUGUUCAGUCUUUGUAGGUUUCAGCUGCUCCUCAGGGUUUGUCCAAAGCUUCAGGAUCAGCGUUAUGUUCUGACGACGACAGCUGUAAAGAUUUUACAGCUCGCAGAGUUUGUCUGUCGCCCUGACUCCCACCUAAGGAAGAGUCUGGAUUUGCUGGAGAGGAGGAAUGCAAAAUCAGACACAUAAAGUUUCCCCAUGAAGGGCAGCUGAAGGCCUAGAGCUGGGAUUUCCAAAGACAAAAUCCUCCUGAAGCCAAUCCUGGAGGAUGACGUAAAGCAUCAGCACGCCAGUGUGGGAGAAUCUGCUCAGACUGGACAAGCCAAGGAAAAUCCAGUGUAAGUCUUGAACCCUUGCCUCUAUAUAAAAACUACACUGAAGCCACAGUGAGGGCAUCACAGGUCACCACAGGCUAUAAUCUGACAGUUUAAUGCAGACAAGAUUAACUCUGUUAAAACCUCUGACCUAUGACAUAACAAGAUGUAGUGGGAAUUAGAAGCUAAUACAGCCACACACAGACUCAGCUUCUCCUGUCUACAUAUUAUGUAGCGUUAUAUUCUGUAGCACUAAGGCUGAAUCUAUUUUAAGCCUCUACUAGUGUAGACCAGGCCAUUCAGUUUAUGUAUAAUCUAAGGAUAACGGUUUCCUUAAGUGUCUAUAUUGGACAGGAAAGGCUGUUUAUUUGUGUUAUGUGAUGCAGUCAGUCUCUCUGCAGGAGGUUUGUGUUGCUGAUAGCAUUUACUGUCUGACACCAGGAAUAUAUUUAGAAAAAAGUUGUCAAAAUAAAUGCAUCAACACCUGAGAUGUUAAAGGUGUUUAAAAGUCAUAUUACCUGAACCUCAGUCGGGUCAUUAGACCACCAGCCACUUCAGGUCAUUAUGUAACAAUGUUCAGUUGUUUUAUAGAGCCACAGCGAGAUUCUGUCAGCAUCUCCCCCUCCCUCUAUCCCAAAAUAAUAUAUCUAACUGUAGAUCACUUAGGCAACCAACAGAAAAAUAAUAAGCACCUAUUUUAAUAAUCAAUUAAUCGUAGCAGUCUUUUUUUUUU